GCUGUACAAUGAUGAUACUUUGGCUCCCUCUACUGAUACUUGUGAGGAAAGCAGCCAUCCGUUACCCAAUACUUCUGAGAGUACAGC
This is a small nucleolar RNA of Accipiter nisus (Eurasian sparrowhawk), 87 nucleotides long. Ensembl annotates it as small nucleolar RNA, C/D box 100. The record is from Ensembl. NCBI's taxonomy places the organism in Eukaryota, Metazoa, Chordata, Aves, Accipitriformes, Accipitridae.